ACAGACUGGAGGGGUUAGGCUACACUUGCACAUAACCUUUAGCUUUAGGGCUUUGUCAUAAAUGGAGCGCACUUUGAGUUCCCCUAGCAAGAGUGGUUGAGAGCAAGGCAAAACUGAAACAGUUACAGAACAAAACAAAUUGUACUGUGGAUUUUGGUUAGGCCUACAUCACACUCUGAAUAGCAGCUGUUCUUGGUUUAUUAACCCGUAAAAGAUGGUUAAGGUAUUUUUCAUUGGCAUUGGAUUUGCCGAGAGGUAUCUUGAAGAGAUCAAGGUCGAUCUCCAAAGACGACUUUGUGUGACUGAAGUCGGAGAUGAAGUAGAAUGUGAUGUAAUCGUGGCCCUCUGUCCAAUCGUCUCUCGAGCUGGAACUGAUGUUGAGGCUGCACUGAAUGUGAUUCCAAGCUCAAAGCCUACACUUGUUAUGGUGCUUCAUCGCACAAUCGACCCGGAUGACAUAAUACCCAACACCCAGAAGUAUGUCGAAGGGAGAGGAAUGACGCUGGACCUGCUUUUCAAUGAGGAAGGAGGACUACUUUCUUGCAGAAGAAAUGAGAACUCCAAGGGAUUGGCUGCCAUUUUCCUCAGCCAAUAUGAAACACCUAGCCCUAGAUACAGUGAUAUCUCUUCAAAUGCCACACGUUUGCCUAUAGGCAAUAUUGUGGUCUUUUUUCUGUUUAUUUCACUUCUUGCCUUUUUAUUCGUUCUUGUUGUUGUGCUAUUACAUGGAACAGUUUUUAACUAACAUUCUGGUUAGCUAACUCAAUCAAGAUCAAAUUAUUUGUUUUUUUCUAGGCUAUUUACAUAGGCUACACUACUAUUACUACAAAACAUGAGCAUUAGCCAACUGAAAUCUGAUAGGCUAUCAGAACCCUAAACUUAAAAUGAAAAUUGGGCUUAAAUGCCAGAAGUGUUUUGUUAAGUCAUAUAUUGGCAAUACCAACAUGUUUUAUUUGAAAACAUUAAAAAGGUGAAGAACAAUCAGCAGUAAGACUUACAAAUGUCAUUUGAUUUAAGAGUGAAUUGUAGUUUAUUAGUUGUAAUUACUCAAACUCCUUGCAUCCUGAAACUGCCCAUCAUCUCUAACCUUUUAGCCAUUUUAUUUAGCUUUAGGCUACUGCUGGGAAAGGUCAAAUCAUGUGAACAGGCCAUAACAAAACACUUCAGUGUUCAGUCAACAUUUUGUGUCCACACUUAUUUCAGUAGGCUACCUACUAAGCUCUAUUCAGACACUUUCACUAUUCAGAGGCUGUUCAUCAAUUGAAAUGACCUAAGAUGAUCUAGUCUCUAUUUCAUAUAGGAAACUAUUCAUAUACUAUUUCAUAUAGUGCUUCUUCCAUGACACUUUGUCAGCAGAAGUAGAUAGAAUUAAAGAAAUGGCAAGUUGAUGUUUGUUUUUCUGUCUGCACACUUGUUUAUUUUCUGUAAUAAAACUCCAAACAGACGUGAGUUCUGCACAGAGCGCUACAAAUCAAAACAAAAAAACAACAUGGACUUUGAACAAACAUGAAUAAAACUGAUGUUUUUUUUUAAAACAAGUUAAGUUAAGUUUAAAGGACGAUUUGAGUAGAAGAUUGAGUAGAUGCUUUGUGUUCGGUUGAUCAAGUGACUGAUUUUUUCUGAGGACAAACAACGCUCAUAUAAAGUCUGUCCUUCACAGUUUGGGAGGGUAGGCUCUCUGAACAAACUUCUGAUCACGGGACAAUACUAAACCCCCGGGGG
Clupea harengus (Atlantic herring) is the source of this 1722-nucleotide long non-coding RNA. The record is from Ensembl. NCBI's taxonomy places the organism in Eukaryota, Metazoa, Chordata, Actinopteri, Clupeiformes, Clupeidae.